GGGGGAUUAACUCAGCGGUCAGAGUGCUACUUUCACAUAGUAGAAGUCGUAGGUUCAAUUCCUAUAUCCCCCACCA
Molecule: transfer RNA, 76 nt
Filed under: Ruminiclostridium sp.
Lineage: Bacteria; Bacillati; Bacillota; Clostridia; Eubacteriales; Oscillospiraceae
Description: tRNA-Val
Rfam family: tRNA
About the family: Transfer RNA (tRNA) molecules are approximately 80 nucleotides in length. Their secondary structure includes four short double-helical elements and three loops (D, anti-codon, and T loops).
Source: RNAcentral